RNAcentral lists this ribosomal RNA (253 nucleotides) under uncultured bacterium. RNAcentral's name for it is "partial 16S ribosomal RNA". It matches the Rfam family "Bacterial small subunit ribosomal RNA", at positions 524 to 776 of the family's 1533-position model. The record is from RNAcentral.
UACGUAGGGCGCAAGCGUUGUCCGGAAUUAUUGGGCGUAAAGAGCUCGUAGGCGGUUUGUCGCGUCUGCUGUGAAAACUCGAGGCUCAACCUCGGGCUUGCAGUGGGUACGGGCAGACUAGAGUGCGGUAGGGGAGACUGGAAUUCCUGGUGUAGCGGUGGAAUGCGCAGAUAUCAGGAGGAACACCGAUGGCGAAGGCAGGUCUCUGGGCCAUAACUGACGCUGAGAAGCGAAAGCAUGGGGAGCGAACAGG